GUGGGCAUUGAGCGGCACACGCUGAUACCGUCGGGAACCGCCUCGAAAGCGGGUAGGCCCGCAAGGGUCUCGUGGGUUCAAAUCCCACUCCCUCCG
Molecule: transfer RNA, 96 nt
Filed under: Actinomycetota bacterium
Lineage: Bacteria; Bacillati; Actinomycetota
Description: tRNA-OTHER
Source: RNAcentral